UCCCUGUUGAAGUAUGGGGCUGUUGUACCAGUUACAUUCACAUAAUCAGAUUCAGAUAGAAUCUUUGAAUACGUUCACAGUCCCACCUCAUGUGAACAUAGGAUCCGCGGACCCCACAUCCUCUCCAGCACAAUGGUGAAAGUCCGGGUGUCCACAAAUUGGUAUCAGUGGGGAUAUCCCUGGCAUCAAUGAUUCCUUUCUAUAUUUCCAGACCUUUAAUAUGGGAUUAAUGCUUGUAUGUUGUUGUUGUAUUCCCUUUUUAAUUUCUUUUUUAAUAAAGGUUAAUACUGCCAGAUCUAUAUCUUGAAAUAAAGACUUUUCUAUA
Rhineura floridana is the source of this 325-nucleotide long non-coding RNA. RefSeq lists it as uncharacterized. The transcript has 3 exons. Lineage: Eukaryota; Metazoa; Chordata; Lepidosauria; Squamata; Rhineuridae. The record is from RefSeq and is a predicted model, not a curated record.